AGGAUAAAAGUUUUUUUAACAUUUAAUUUGCAAUUAAAAAAAAUUGUAUUUCAAUUUAUCUUA
RNAcentral lists this transfer RNA (63 nucleotides) under Lucidina sp. FM13. RNAcentral describes it as "tRNA-Ala". The record is from RNAcentral. Lineage: Eukaryota; Metazoa; Arthropoda; Insecta; Coleoptera; Lampyridae.